GCCCAUGGCUACACCUGCUUCGUGGACAGAACCGAUGGAGGUGGGCUCGUUUGCCCAAGGCAGAGUGUAGGAGAAGGAGGAAUCUGGGCCUCUGCUCCUAUUGUGGAGAAAGGGGUCAUUUCUCCCUGACCUGCCCUCUAUCCACUAAUAGACGAGGAGGUGACAAGCCAGGGAAUUCUCCUGCUCCAACCCAGGAAUUUUGUCCUGUCUACAGUCAGCUCGAGGGUGGUACAUGUGAAUACACAGGGCGGCGUGAUGAAACCGCUACUACGAAAGCAUUGCAAGGCACUGCAUGCUGUGGCCUGUCACCCCCAGCAAGCAGUUGUUGCCUUGGGCAGCCACAGUGGCAUCCUGAAGGUGUGGGACUAUGAGCGCAAGGUGUCCAUCUGCAACAGGGUCUUUGAGAAGGAGAGGCAGAUUCAGUGCGUCGCCUAUGACCACCAAGUGAACAGGAUUAUACUUGGCUGUUGGAUUUGCAAUUGGAGCUGUCCAUGUACUGGAUGCUUGCACAUUGCAGAGUGAGGCAGAGGAGCGACUCAACU
RNAcentral lists this long non-coding RNA (542 nucleotides) under Salmo salar (Atlantic salmon). RNAcentral's name for it is "lncRNA (ENSSSAG00000099910.1)". Lineage: Eukaryota; Metazoa; Chordata; Actinopteri; Salmoniformes; Salmonidae. The record is from RNAcentral.